This 253-nucleotide ribosomal RNA is filed under the name uncultured bacterium. RNAcentral describes it as "partial 16S ribosomal RNA". It matches the Rfam family "Bacterial small subunit ribosomal RNA", at positions 524 to 776 of the family's 1533-position model. The record is from RNAcentral.
UACGUAGGGUGCAAGCGUUGUCCGGAAUUAUUGGGCGUAAAGAGCUCGUAGGCGGUUUGUCGCGUCUGCUGUGAAAUCUUGGGGCUUAACCCUGAGCUUGCAGUGGGUACGGGCAGACUAGAGUGCGGUAGGGGAGACUGGAAUUCCUGGUGUAGCGGUGAAAUGCGCAGAUAUCAGGAGGAACACCGGUGGCGAAGGUGGGUCUCUGGGCCGUAACUGACGCUGAGGAGCGAAAGCAUGGGGAGCGAACAGG